UACGAGUGCUUCGAGCGUUAUCCGGAAUUAUUGGGCGUAAAGGGUGUGUAGGCGGCUAUAUUAGUCUCGCGUUAAAUUCUCCGGCUCAACCGGGGAGCUGCGUGGGAAACGGUAUGGCUUGAGGACGGAAGAGGUCUCUGGAACUCAUGGUGUAGCGGUGAAAUGCGUUGAUAUCAUGGGGAACACCAAAAGCGAAGGCAAGAGACUGGUCCGCUCCUGACGCUGAAACACGAAAGCGUGGGUCGCGAAUGGG
Molecule: ribosomal RNA, 253 nt
Filed under: uncultured bacterium
Lineage: Bacteria
Description: partial 16S ribosomal RNA
Rfam family: Bacterial small subunit ribosomal RNA
Source: RNAcentral